GAUGAACGCUGGCGGCGUGCCUAAUACAUGCAAGUCGAGCGAACAGACGAGGAGCUUGCUCCUCUGACGUUAGCGGCGAACUGGUGAGUAACACGUGGAUAACCUACCUAUAAGACUGGGAUAACUUCGGGAAACCGGAGCUAAUACCGGAUAAUAUAUUGAACCGCAUGGUUCAAUAGUGAAAGACGGUUUUGCUGUCACUUAUAGAUGGAUCCGCGCCGCAUUAGCUAGUUGGUAAGGUAACGGCUUACCAAGGCGACGAUGCGUAGCCGACCUGAGAGGGUGAUCGGCCACACUGGAACUGAGACACGGUCCAGACUCCUACGGGAGGCAGCAGUAGGGAAUCUUCCGCAAUGGGCGAAAGCCUGACGGAGCAACGCCGCGUGAGUGAUGAAGGUCUUCGGAUCGUAAAACUCUGUUAUUAGGGAAGAACAAAUGUGUAAGUAACUAUGCACGUCUUGACGGUACCUAAUCAGAAAGCCUCGGCUAACUACGUG
This 497-nucleotide ribosomal RNA is filed under the name uncultured bacterium. Its description in RNAcentral is "partial 16S ribosomal RNA". It matches the Rfam family "Bacterial small subunit ribosomal RNA", at positions 28 to 507 of the family's 1533-position model. The record is from RNAcentral.